UACAGAGGUCCCGAGCGUUGUUCGGAUUUAUUGGGCGUAAAAGGUGCGUAGGUGGCAAAGUAAGUUGGAUGUGAAAUCCUGGGGCUCAACCUCAGAAUUGCAUUCAAUACUGCUUAGCUAGAGAGCUGUAGAGGAGACUGGAAUUUACGGUGUAGCAGUGAAAUGCGUAGAUAUCGUAAGGAACGCCAGUGGCGAAAGCGAGUCUCUGGGCAGCAUCUGACACUGAGGCACGAAGGCCAGGGGAGCAAACGGG
Molecule: ribosomal RNA, 253 nt
Filed under: uncultured bacterium
Lineage: Bacteria
Description: partial 16S ribosomal RNA
Rfam family: Bacterial small subunit ribosomal RNA
Source: RNAcentral